This 97-nucleotide small nucleolar RNA is filed under the name Vombatus ursinus (common wombat). Its description in RNAcentral is "Small nucleolar RNA SNORD14 (ENSVURG00010002601.1)". It matches the Rfam family "Small nucleolar RNA SNORD14". From Rfam's summary of the family: U14 small nucleolar RNA (U14 snoRNA) is required for early cleavages of eukaryotic precursor rRNAs. The record is from Rfam by way of RNAcentral. Lineage: Eukaryota; Metazoa; Chordata; Mammalia; Diprotodontia; Vombatidae.
CCGCUAUGAUGAUAGUAUUACCCCAAACCAUUCGUAGUUUCCACCAGAAGUCACGUGACUUGUGUUGGCAAAGAUCCUUCCUUGGAUGUCUGAGCGA